This 469-nucleotide ribosomal RNA is filed under the name uncultured bacterium. RNAcentral describes it as "partial 16S ribosomal RNA". It matches the Rfam family "Bacterial small subunit ribosomal RNA", at positions 28 to 507 of the family's 1533-position model. The record is from RNAcentral.
GACGAACGCUGGCGGCGUGCUUAACACAUGCAAGUCGAACGGAAAGGCCCUGCUUGCCGGGUGCUCGAGUGGCGAACGGGUGAGUAACACGUGGGUGAUCUGCCCCUUAUUUUGGGAUAAGCCUGGGAAACUGGGUCUAAUACUGGAUAGGACCAUGCUGUAGGUGGUGUGGUGGAAAGAUUAGUUUCGGUAAGGGAUGAGCUCGCGGCCUAUCAGCUUGUUGGUGGGGUAAUGGCCUACCAAGGCGUCGACGGGUAGCCGGCCUGAGAGGGUGGACGGCCACAUUGGGACUGAGAGACGGCCCAGACUCCUACGGGAGGCAGCAGUGGGGGAUAUUGCACAAUGGGCGCAAGCCUGAUGCAGCGACGCCGCGUGGGGGAUGACGGCCUUCGGGUUGUAAACUCCUUUCAGCCAUGACGAAGCCCUUGUGGUGACGGUAGUGGUAGAAGAAGCACCGGCUAACUACGUG